This 32-nucleotide small RNA is filed under the name Prymnesium polylepis. RNAcentral's name for it is "partial Mitochondrion-encoded tmRNA". The record is from RNAcentral. Lineage: Eukaryota; Haptophyta; Prymnesiales; Prymnesiaceae.
AUGGACCCAAGAACGCUUUUCGGUAUCUCCAU